UACGAAGGCCACAAGCGUUAUCCGGAUUUAUUGGGCGUAAAGGGCGCGUAGGGGGCUUUGUAAGUCUCCGGUUAAAUCGUUCCGCUUAACGGAACAACCGCCGGGGAUACUGCAAAACUAGAAGGCGUUAGAGGCAGAUGGAACGCACGGUGUAGGGGUGAAAUCCGUUGAUAUCGUGCGGAACACCAAAGGCGAAGGCAUUCUGCUGGGACGUUCUUGACCCUGAGGCGCGAAAGCGUGGGGAG
Molecule: ribosomal RNA, 245 nt
Filed under: uncultured bacterium
Lineage: Bacteria
Description: partial 16S ribosomal RNA
Rfam family: Bacterial small subunit ribosomal RNA
Source: RNAcentral